GAUGAAGAACGCAGCGAAAUGCGAUAAGUAAUGUGAAUUGCAGAAUUCAGUGAAUCAUCGAAUCUUUGAACGCACAUUGCGCCCCCUGGUAUUCCGGGGGGCAUGCCUGUUCGAGCGUCAUUUCACCACUCAAGCCUCGCUUGGUAUUGGGCAACGCGGUCCGCCGCGUGCCUCAAAUCGACCGGCUGGGUCUUCUGUCCCCUAAGCGUUGUGGAAACUAUUCGCUAAAGGGUGUUCGGGAGGCUACGCCGUAAAACAGCCCCAUUUCUAAGGUUGACCUCGGAUCAGGUAGGGAUACCCGCUGAACUUAAGCAUAUCAAUAAGCGGAGGA
This 331-nucleotide unclassified non-coding RNA is filed under the name soil metagenome. RNAcentral describes it as "partial contains 5.8S ribosomal RNA, internal transcribed spacer 2, and large subunit ribosomal RNA". The stretch from base 1 to 120 matches the Rfam family "5.8S ribosomal RNA", at positions 35 to 154 of the family's 154-position model. The record is from RNAcentral.